Molecule: ribosomal RNA, 519 nt
Filed under: uncultured bacterium
Lineage: Bacteria
Description: bacterial SSU rRNA
Rfam family: Bacterial small subunit ribosomal RNA
Source: RNAcentral
GACGAACGCUGGCGGCGUGCCUAAUACAUGCAAGUCGAGCGGGGAUUAUGCUUGAUCGCUUCGGUGAGACGGCAUAUAUCCUAGCGGCGGACGGGUGAGUAACGCGUGGGUAAUCUACCUCGUAGUUCGGGAUAACAGGCCGAAAGGCUUGCUAAUACCGGAUGAGUUCAUGCUUAUGCAUAUAGGCAUGAAGAAAGGGCUAGCCCGCUAUGAGAUGAGCCCGCGUCCCAUUAGCUUGUUGGUGGGGUAAUGGCCUACCAAGGCAACGAUGGGUAGCCGGCCUGAGAGGGUGUACGGCCACACUGGGACUGAGACACGGCCCAGACUCCUACGGGGGGCAGCAGUAGGGAAUUUUCGGCAAUGGGCGAAGCCUGACCGAGCGACGCCGCGUGAGGGACGAAGGCCUUCGGGUUGUAACCUCUGUCGUGGGGGAUGAGGAACGGACGGUACCCCGGACGGAACGGCCCCGGACUAACCGUACGUCGCCGAGCACGGCCGCGGUAAUAGUACUCGUAUCCG